UGGGGAAUCUUAGACAAUGGGCGCAAGCCUGAUCUAGCCAUGCCGCGUGGACGAUGAAGGCCUUAGGGUUGUAAAGUCCUUUCAGCUGGGAAGAUAAUGACGGUACCAGCAGAAGAAGCCCCGGCUAACUCCGUGCCAGCAGCCGCGGUAAUACGGAGGGGGCUAGCGUUGUUCGGAAUUACUGGGCGUAAAGCGCGCGUAGGCGGACCAGAAAGUUGGGGGUGAAAUCCCGGGGCUCAACCUCGGAACUGCCUUCAAAACUCCUGGUCUGGAGUUCGAGAGAGGUGAGUGGAAUUCCGAGUGUAGAGGUGAAAUUCGUAGAUAUUCGGAGGAACACCAGUGGCGAAGGCGGCUCACUGGCUCGAUACUGACGCUGAGGUGCGAAAGCGUGGGGAGCAAACAGG
Molecule: ribosomal RNA, 404 nt
Filed under: uncultured bacterium
Lineage: Bacteria
Also listed under: 1 other name
Description: bacterial SSU rRNA
Rfam family: Bacterial small subunit ribosomal RNA
Source: RNAcentral